UGAUGAAAAGUUUCGGGUUCUUGAUAAC
This 28-nucleotide non-coding RNA is filed under the name Rattus norvegicus (Norway rat). The record is from RNAcentral. Lineage: Eukaryota; Metazoa; Chordata; Mammalia; Rodentia; Muridae.